GAUCUGCUCCCGGACUCCUUCAGCGCGCUGCCUGCCUGCCCAGGGCCUUCCCGGAGAGCAGGUGACGGCGGCCUCCGGGCAUGGAGCUCGCGCUGACGAAAGGUUCUGGAAGCCGCCGUAAAAAGUAAUCAAGAAACGGGUGACAGGACUUUUCGAACAAGGUCUCACCAUGCUGCCCAAGCUGGUCUGAAAACUCUUGUCCUCAGGCAGUCCUCCCACCUCGGCCUCCCAAAGAUCUGAGAUUACAGGCAUGAGCCACCACACCUGGCCUUGGUUUUAAUUCCUGUCACAGUAUAUUAGUUUUCGCUGUUGUGUAUUGAUUGAUUGAGACAGGGUCUCGCUCUGUUGCCCAGGCUGGAGUGCAGGGGCAUGAUCCCAGCUCACUGCAACCUCCACCUCUUGGAUUCAAGUGAUUCUCCCGUCUCAGCCUCCCGAGUAACAGGAACCACAGGUGUGUGCCAGCACGCCUGGCUAAUUUUUUUUUUUUUUUUCUUGAGGUGGAGUUUCACUGUUGUUGCCCAGGUUGGAGUGCAGUGGCACAAUCUCAGCUCACUGCAACCUCUGCCUCCUGGGUUCAAGUGAUUCUCCUGCUUCAGCCUCACGAGUUGUUGGGAUUACAGGCGCCCGCCACCACGCCCAGGUAAUUUUUGUUUAGUAGAGACGGGGUUUCACCAUGUUGGCCUGGCUGGUCUCGAACUCCUGACCUCAGGUGAUCCACCCACCUCGGCCUCCCAAAGUUGUGGGAUUGCAGGCGUGAGCCACUGCGCCUGGCCUAAUUUUUCAAUUUUUUGGUGGAGAUAGGGUUUCACCAUGUUGGCCAGGCUGGAGUUUUGCCUGUUCUAGAAGCUUGUAUCAGUCAUACAACACCCCUUUGAGGAACCGUUUGAGGUGUGGCACGAUACAGCAAGUCAGCUGCCAAAGAGGGGCUUAGCCACAGGAAGUGCGUGCCCAGAACGGUAAAGGGGCUGUGGCCUUUCUUAUCAUCUCCACUCCCUGUCCCCCCCAUCACCUGCUCUUCGUGCUUUGUGAUAAUUCAGUGAGCUCAUACUCAUGACCUGUGUCCUCCAGCAUCUCCCGUGUCCCUCACAGCAGUUCUAUGAGGCUGGCUGCCCUGUUUGACAACUGAGGCCCGCAUCUUCCCCGGAAUCACCGACGUGUGGCUCUGAGCCCUGUCCCAGGGAUUUUCUCCAUCAGAGAAGAGGAGCACUUUGAGCUUUGAGAGGAGCAGCCCUCUGCAAGUGAAGUGGAAAAAAAGGAAGCAGGCGAGGAGGCCCAUCCAGACCCUCCCCCAAGACCCUUGCUGAAAUGGCUGGGAUGCGGCGUGCAGAAGCUCUCCUUUCCUUCACAGCCCCUGGCUUUCCAAGAGUCCCUGCCCACCCAGAUGCCCGCUGGCAGAUGCAGCCUCAUCUCAAGGACACUGCUUGCUGGAUAAAUCCCUCACCACCCUAGAGACAGCCCACGGUCCUGAGACAAGGAUGCGGGCCAGGCUUGUUGCACGUAAGCGCCUCCCGCAGAAACCAGUGAGGCCGGAGUUCCAGAGGAAAUGAUGUAGGGACAGAGGCAGAGGGCCUCCAGGAGGCACCAGCCCCAGAGUCUUCCCUAGAAUCAGACUUUAAGCACAAGCAGGGAGGGAAAGCACUUGAGCAGUGCCCGUCCCUGCAUACCUGGCCUCUGCUGGAACCCAUGCAGGGACAGGACACUUCUUUAUCAGCAAUCCUGUUCCUCUCCUGGGCAGCUUCAACCUGAACAUCCUCCUUCACCUUGAGCUAAAAUGGGUUUCUUGUCACCCUUGCCCAUCAAACCUGGCCUUGCCCUCAGGAACCACACAGGACAAGCCUAAUACUUCCUUCUUGUGGCAACACUUUAGCAAUUGAGACCUGGCUGUCAGGUCCUCCAAAUAAACAUUUGUGACUGUGAUGUUGACUUGCCGCUUCUGGGGACCUCUUCUCAUUUGAUCGGAGAAAGUUUUUCAGGGUUAAACCUACUUCUUUCCCCCAAGAAACUCUUCUUGUCAGGCUCACGCCUAUAAUCCUGGCACUUUGGGAGGCCAAGGCAGGAGGAUUGUUUGAGACCAGCCUGGGCAACGUAGGUAGACUAUGUUGCU
RNAcentral lists this long non-coding RNA (2104 nucleotides) under Homo sapiens (human). RNAcentral's name for it is "non-protein coding LINC01569:25". Lineage: Eukaryota; Metazoa; Chordata; Mammalia; Primates; Hominidae. The record is from RNAcentral.